CUACGGGGGGCUGCAGUAAGGAAUAUUGGUCAAUGGACGCAAGUCUGAACCAGCCAUGCCGCGUGAAGGAUUAAGGUCCUCUGGAUUGUAAACUUCUUUUAUUUGGGACGAAAAAGGGUCUUUCUAGACCAACUGACGGUACCAGAUGAAUAAGCACCGGCUAACUCCGUGCCAGCAGCCGCGGUAAUACGGAGGGUGCAAGCGUUAUCCGGAUUCACUGGGUUUAAAGGGUGCGUAGGCGGGUAGGUAAGUCAGUGGUGAAAUCCUAGAGCUUAACUCUAGAACUGCCAUUGAUACUAUCUAUCUUGAAUAUUGUGGAGGUAAGCGGAAUAUGUCAUGUAGCGGUGAAAUGCUUAGAUAUGACAUAGAACACCUAUUGCGAAGGCAGCUUACUACGCAUAUAUUGACGCUGAGGCACGAAAGCGUGGGGAUCAAACAGGAUUAGAUACCCUAGUAGUC
RNAcentral lists this ribosomal RNA (459 nucleotides) under uncultured bacterium. Its description in RNAcentral is "partial 16S ribosomal RNA". It matches the Rfam family "Bacterial small subunit ribosomal RNA", at positions 339 to 795 of the family's 1533-position model. The record is from RNAcentral.